Long non-coding RNA from Zalophus californianus (California sea lion), 3525 nucleotides. RefSeq lists it as uncharacterized. NCBI's taxonomy places the organism in Eukaryota, Metazoa, Chordata, Mammalia, Carnivora, Otariidae. The record is from RefSeq and is a predicted model, not a curated record. The transcript has 3 exons.
AAAGACAAAGGAAAGUUUAAGUCAUAACGCACACUCCCAGCCUGACCUGUCUACGAGCUGCUGAGACCAGAGAUCACCGCUGCCUGUAGACGUUACUGACCACAAAAAUCCCAUUUAGCAAAACGGACUCUUCUCUGAUCUCACUAGCUUAUUUGAGAGAUAUUUACUGAGUGGUGUCAAGAACUCUUUCCUCAUGGAUAAAAACUACACCUAGCAGGAAAAAUACGAGAGUAUGAAUGACAAACGUGAGGAGCCAAGGCCAUGCGGACAGGCACAGGGACACAUUAAAAGCAAAACAUCUACUACACCAAAAAAUGUCUUUCUAAUGUUUUUCUUUAUAUAGUGUCCAGAAUCUUCCAUUUCUAUUUCAGAAGCUCUCCAAAGCUGUCCAAUGAAAACCUGAACAUGUGACUGCAAAGCAUUUAAAAUAUUUUUUAUCUCAAUGCCCAUGUUAGGAAAAGCACUCCUGAAGAGGAAACAGAUAAUGAUGACUUCAGGAAUACAACCCCUCAAAAGCACACACACAAUGCCGAGAAAUAAACCAAUACCACAAAAAGGACGUGCUCAAUUACGGCCAGAAGAGGGAACCCAGAGAUCUCACAGGCGGGUCAUCUAAGCCAUAGGUCGACACUGAGAGGCAAACAACAGCGAAGAGCAUGGGCUCUAAAGCCAGGUAGCCUGGGUGUGAGCGCCAAACUUCUUAGCCACGACACCAAGAACACGGUACUGAUCCUCUCUAUGCCUCGGGCAGCUCAUUUGUAAAAUGGGGAUUAAAGACUAGCUGGCUCUUAGGAUUCUGAGUCUUAAAUAAUGUAUGCCUGGUAUGGAGUAAGCACUACAGAAACAUGUAAGUGUUAGAUAUUACUCUAUGCUAGCUUCCAUUUUUGCUUUUAUCAUAUAACUUUUUUAUAAACCUAAAAUUUCACAUUAUUUACAUAGAACCCUGACCUCAAUGCAAGGCAGAGAACCUGCUCUCAUUUAGAAAUUUCUUCACUCUGAUACAGAAAUACGUGAGCUAGUUACUGGAUCCUACAAGUGGGUAACUAUAUCCUAGAUGACAUUAAAAGAAAUAAUUAAAAUCUUGGGACUGGGGAUUUUUGUCUCACCAGAGUUAUAAAAAGACCCAGGAGUAUAAGCUAGCAGGUUUCCAGGGCAAUGCUUCUAUCAUCCCUAUUUAUAGAACACAGCUUGGAAGAGAACAAUUCUCUAGGAUCUGAACUGUAUUUAUGAGUGUCUACAGAUCCAUGGUUGUACUGCUACACAACAGUAGGGUAGUGUGGGGGGGCAUAGUCACAUGAAAUGUCAGACUUGUAGAAUGUGUGGGUUCUCAAGGCCCGACCCCAGGCAGCCUCCACUGUCCCCAGCUCUUCCUGAGGCAGUGCAGGGCUAUAGAGAAAGUGAUCCCCAUUGUGCAUGGUUCCCCUGGAUGGAAUGUGAGCCUCGAGAAGCAGAAACCCUAGGACUAGACAUGUCCAACAUCCACUGUGUGUGUAUGGGUGUCUGUGAGUACACUCACGUGAGUGUGUGUUACUGUGUGUGAGUGAAUACGCUCUGGUGGGAAUCUGGUGACCUCAGGCCGGGGCUGGUGUGGAGGCAGCACCAAGAGUGGGGAAGGACACAGUCCUAGGAACCAGUCUUAUACCUGGGGUUUUAUACCAGUUUUAUACCACCUAUACCAUGAGUUUUACCACUUGCUUUGUGAACUAAGGCAAGCUUUUUAUCUAUGAAAUGGAGAUAAUAUUAAUAACUACCUCCUAAGGUUAUUUUGAAAAUUAAAAAAAAGGACAAUAUAUGUAAAAUACUCAAAUAUUCAGUAUUAAUUAAUGUUAUGUUAAAUGGUAGCCUUUUGAUUUUUAAAUGACAGUCUGAUAAAACGUGAAAGAACAGUUCCAGUCCAUCUAGUCAAAAUGAAGAGUCUCCUUUAGGACACGUACAAAGGAAAGAGACAACUGUUGCUGGAACCCCCAGAAACAGUGGAGAGUCCAGCACAUGGGAGUUAUUUUUACCUCUUAAAAUUUUACAAUUUUGUUCAUAUCCUCCAUUCUUGUAUUUGGCCAAAAGUAAAGCAAAGCUCUAUGUCCAGAACGCUUUACUUUUCAGACUUUCCCAGCAUUCCUGACAUUCAGGGGUACAGAUAGCUGGCUACCUGGCAUCUUUGGGCUGUGCUAGGAGAGGUCCUGCUGACCGGCACAUUCACAUCAGAAAGGAGCCAGGACUGUUUGUUAAAUGCCUUUAAGGAGUCCUUGCUAAUGUGUCCAUAGUACUUACUAGUACCCUCCACCUACCCAGCUCUCAAUCAGCUGAGGCACACUAAUGCUGACAAGCUUCUGCCACUUCCCCAAAGUCACAGAGUGUUCUGUUCAACUCAUCAGGAGGCAGUGCCUGGAACCCAAAGUCAUUCUUAAGCUCCCCCACCCCCUUCUCUAACCAGUUAAGAAGGAUUCUCCAUCAUCAAAAAGCAUUUCAGAAUACUGUAGACAAAGUACUGCCUCUGUGAUAUCUGGAAUGUUCAAUGAUCAGCUUCCUUUUCUGGCACAGCUUUUAAAGAUGUGGAAAUUGGGGCACCUGGGUAGCUCAGUUGGUUAAGCGACUGCCUUCGGCUCAGGUCAUGAUCCUGGAGUUCUGGGAUCGAGCCCCACAUUGGGCUUCCUGCUCAGCGGGGGGGUCUGCUUCUCCCUCUGACUCUCUGACCCUCUUCCCUCUCGUGCUCUCUGUCUCUGUCUCUCUCAAAUAAAUAAAAUCUUAAAAAAAAAAUAAAGAUGUGGAAAUUAUUCCCGUUACUGCAAUAUGACUCUACCCAGAAUCAAAUACUCAAGUCCCAGAGUCCAGCCUAAUCUACCAUACGCUAAUCUUCAUCACCCAUCCCUCUUAUAAAAAUUUACAACUGUGCUGUGCCUAUGACAUUUAAUAUUGCCAGGUCAUGGAUCUAAUAAGAGUUUGUUUCAAAUCUGUUACCUGUAAAUGCAGUUCUACAAAAACAGAUAAGUGUACACAGCAAAAUUAAUUUUUUUAAAAAGCUAUUACAACCAAAAACAUCACAUCAAGAUCCACAUAAACUUCAUUUUUAGUUGGGACUGUAGAAAUUACGGCCUUUAAUUCUCAUUAAACUAAUAGAAAUAAGUCACUUAUUGCAAAAGUCUUCUUGUUAUUACUGCCAUUAUAAGUGAUCACGAAGAUUACUGUCAACUGUGAAUGCAGGGGCUUUCAAAAAUGUGUGUAUCUUAAAAGGCACUACCAGAGAGUAAUGGAAAAAAUACCUAUCUACCUUACAAGAUAAGUUUGAAGCCUGCAGUUUUAAACACGAAAACUCCUCUCAAUUCUUAUCAGGACAGUUUCUGCUCUGUGCCUCUCACAAGAAAGAUCGCUCAGGAAGCUAGGUCUUUGAAAUCAGGCUCUCAGUUGGAGGUUUAAUUCAAUUAACAAUAUGGAGAUCCAACUGAGAAUCAAGUUCAUGUUUUGAACUCAGCUGAAAGUCAGAAGCCUGGGAUGGGAAUGUGUGGACACAACUUACUAAAGUUCCCCUCU